AGUCGAACGGCAGCGCGGGGCAACCUGGCGGCGAGUGGCGAACGGGUGAGUAAUAUAUCGGAACGUACCCUGGAGUGGGGGAUAACGUAGCGAAAGUUACGCUAAUACCGCAUACGAUCUAAGGAUGAAAGUGGGGGAUCGCAAGACCUCAUGCUCCUGGAGCGGCCGAUAUCUGAUUAGCUAGUUGGUGGGGUAAAGGCUCACCUAGGCUUCGAUCAGUAGCUGGUCUGAGAGGACGACCAGCCACACUGGAACUGAGACACGGUCCAGACUCCUACGGGAGGCAGCAGUGGGGAAUUUUGGACAAUGGGCGCAAGCCUGAUCCAGCAAUGCCGCGUGAGUGAAGAAGGCCUUCGGGUUGUAAAGCUCUUUUGUCAGGGAAGAAACGGUGAGGGCUAAUAUCUCUUGCUAAUGACGGUACCUGAAGAAUAAGCACCGGCUAACUACGUGCCAGCAGCCGCGGUAAUACGUAGGGUGCAAGCGUUAAUCGGAAUUACUGGGCGUAAAGCGUGCGCAGGCGGUUUUGUAAGUUUGUCGUGAAAGCCCCGGGCUCAACCUGGGAAUUGCGAUGAAGACUGCAAGGCUUGAAUCUGGCAGAGGGGGGUAGAAUUCCACGUGUAGCAGUGAAAUGCGUAGAGAUGUGGAGGAACACCGAUGGCGAAGGCAGCCCCCUGGGUCAAGAUUGACGCUCAUGCACGAAAGCGUGGGGAGCAAACAGGAUUAGAUACCCUGGUAGUCCACGCCCUAAACGAUGUCUACUAGUUGUCGGGUUUUAAUUAACUUGGUAACGCAGCUAACGCGUGAAGUAGACCGCCUGGGGAGUACGGUCGCAAGAUUAAAACUCAAAGGAAUUGAC
RNAcentral lists this ribosomal RNA (856 nucleotides) under uncultured bacterium. RNAcentral's name for it is "bacterial SSU rRNA". It matches the Rfam family "Bacterial small subunit ribosomal RNA", at positions 60 to 914 of the family's 1533-position model. The record is from RNAcentral.